RNAcentral lists this non-coding RNA (965 nucleotides) under Carlito syrichta (Philippine tarsier). Lineage: Eukaryota; Metazoa; Chordata; Mammalia; Primates; Tarsiidae. The record is from Rfam by way of RNAcentral.
AACACAUAGGUUUUGGUCCUAGCUUUCUCAUUAGUUUUUAGUAAAAUUAUACAUGCCAGUAUCUGCCCUCCAGUGAGAAUGCCCUCUAGGUCCCAACAGACCAGAAGGAGCGGACAUCAAGGACACUAAUAAGUAACUCACAACAUCUUGCUCAACCACACCCCCACGGGAUACAGCAGUAAGAAAAAUUAAGCAAUAAACGAAAGUUCGACUAAGUUAUACUAGAAAUACAGGGUUGGUAAAUUUCGUGCCAGUCACCGCGGUCAUAUGAUUAACCCACACUAAUAAGAUCCGGUGUAAAGCGUGUUUAAAUUAUACUCAAACUAAAGUUAAACCCUGACUAGGCCGUAAAAAGCUACAGUCAAACCUAAAAUAAUCCACGAAAGUGACUUUAAUGUUUUGAAGACAUGACAGCUAAGACUCAAACUGGGAUUAGAAACCCCACUAUGCUUAGCCAUAAAUAUAAAUAAAUUUAAACAAAUUUAUUCGCCAGAGUACUACAAGCAACAGCUUAAAACUCAAAGGACUUGGCGGUGCUUCACAUUCCCUCUAGAGGAGCCUGUUCUAUAACUGAUAACCCCGAUUAACCUUACCACCCCUUGCUAAUUCAGUCCAUAUACUGCCAUCUUCAGCAAACCCUAAAAAGGCCCUAAAGUAAGCACAAGUAUAAACAUAAAAACGUUAGGUCAAGGUGUAACCUAUGAGGUGGAAAGCAAUGGGCUACAUUCUCUACUUUAGAGCAUUACGAAUAUUCUUAUGAAAACAAGAAUUAAAGGAGGAUUUAGCUGUAAACUAAGAAUAGAGAGCUUGAUUGAAAAAAGGCCAUGAAGCACGCACACACUGCCCAUCACCCUCCUCAAAUGCAACCCAUACAACAGCUACAUAAAAAUAAAUCAUAACGCAUGAGAUGAGAUAAGUCGUAACAAGUUAAGCAUACUGGAAAGUGUGCUUGGAAUAGACAAAGU